ACGCUCGACACCUACGGUAGGCAGCAGUGGGGAAUAUUGCACAAUGGGGGAAACCCUGAUGCAGCGACGCCGCGUGAGCGAAGAAGUAUUUCGGUAUGUAAAGCUCUAUCAGCAGGGAAGAAAAUGACGGUACCUGACUAAGAAGCCCCGGCUAACUACGUGCCAGUAGCCGCGGUAAUCUGAGCGGGCUGGCAAGGC
This 198-nucleotide ribosomal RNA is filed under the name uncultured bacterium. RNAcentral describes it as "partial 16S ribosomal RNA". It matches the Rfam family "Bacterial small subunit ribosomal RNA", at positions 326 to 539 of the family's 1533-position model. The record is from RNAcentral.